This 548-nucleotide ribosomal RNA is filed under the name uncultured Glomeromycotina. Its description in RNAcentral is "SSU rRNA". It matches the Rfam family "Eukaryotic small subunit ribosomal RNA", at positions 548 to 1098 of the family's 1831-position model. The record is from RNAcentral. Lineage: Eukaryota; Fungi; Glomeromycota.
UUGGAGGGCAAGUCUGGUGCCAGCAGCCGCGGUAAUUCCAGCUCCAAUAGCGUAUAUUAAAGUUGUUGCAGUUAAAAAGCUCGUAGUUGAAUUUCGGGAUCAGAUUGUCGGUCGUGCCUCGGUACGCACUGGCAUUAUUGGUUCCUACCUUCUGAAGAACCGCGAUGUCAUUAAUUUGGUGUCGUGGGGAAUCAGGACUGUUACUUUGAAAAAAUUAGAGUGUUUAAAGCAGGCUUACGCUUGAAUACAUUAGCAUGGAAUAAUGAAAUAGGACGUUUGAUUCUAUUUUGUUGGUUUCUAGGAUUGACGUAAUGAUUAAUAGGGAUAGUUGGGGGCAUUAGUAUUCAAUUGUCAGAGGUGAAAUUCUUGGAUUUAUUGAAGACUAACUACUGCGAAAGCAUUUGCCAAGGAUGUUUUCAUUAAUCAAGAACGAAAGUUAGGGGAUCGAAGACGAUCAGGUACCGUCGUAGUCUUAACCAUAAACUAUGCCGACUAGGGAUCGGAUGAUGUUAAUUUUUUAAUGACUCAUUCGGCGCCUUACGGGAAAC